GACCGCGUAGCUCAGUUGGCAGAGCAUUGGGCUAGUAUUCCAAAGGUCGUGGGUUCCAUUCCAACCGUGGCCG
This 73-nucleotide transfer RNA is filed under the name Paramuricea clavata. It matches the Rfam family "tRNA". From Rfam's summary of the family: Transfer RNA (tRNA) molecules are approximately 80 nucleotides in length. Their secondary structure includes four short double-helical elements and three loops (D, anti-codon, and T loops). Lineage: Eukaryota; Metazoa; Cnidaria; Anthozoa; Malacalcyonacea; Plexauridae. The record is from Rfam by way of RNAcentral.